ACGUUCGGGUAAUCGCUGCAAUGAGCUUUACGCGAAUUGUUGAGGAAAGUCCAUGCUCGCACGGGCUGCGAUGCUCGUAGUGUUCGUGCCUAGCGAAAUCAUAAGCUAGGGCAGUUGGGCGUAAGUCCAAUUGACGGCCGGGAAAAUACCUAAGUCUUUUUAGGAUAUGGUAUGUGUACCUAUAAAAGUGCCACAGUGACGUAGCCUUUCUAGAAAUGGAGAGGGUGGAACGGGUAAACCCCACGAGCGAGAAACCCAAAUAAUGGUAGGGGAACUUUCUCUGAGGAAUUGAACGAGGAGAAGGACAGAUUUCAACGUGAAUCUGUAGAUAGAUGAUUACCACCUAAGUACGAGACUAAUCGUCGUUUGCAGUACUAUGGUACAGAACAUGGCUUACAGAA
RNAcentral lists this RNase P RNA (401 nucleotides) under Neobacillus sp. WH10. RNAcentral describes it as "RNase P RNA component class B". It matches the Rfam family "Bacterial RNase P class B". From Rfam's summary of the family: Ribonuclease P (RNase P) is a ubiquitous endoribonuclease, found in archaea, bacteria and eukarya as well as chloroplasts and mitochondria. Its best characterised activity is the generation of mature 5'-ends of tRNAs by cleaving the 5'-leader elements of precursor-tRNAs. The record is from RNAcentral. Lineage: Bacteria; Bacillati; Bacillota; Bacilli; Caryophanales; Bacillaceae.